Molecule: ribosomal RNA, 537 nt
Filed under: uncultured bacterium
Lineage: Bacteria
Description: bacterial SSU rRNA
Rfam family: Bacterial small subunit ribosomal RNA
Source: RNAcentral
ACCCAAUAGAUACCCGGGUAGUCCACGCCCUAAACGAUGCAUAUUUGGUGUGGGUCAUUCAGUUGAUCCGUGCCGGAGCUAAACGCGUUAAAUAUGCCGCCUGGGGAGUACAGUCGCAAGGCUGAAACUCAAAGGAAUUGACGGGGGCCGCACAAGCGGUGGAGCAUGUGGUUCAAUUCGACGCAACGCGAAGAACCUUACCUGGGCUCGAACGGCUGGUUAACGACUUUGGAAACAGAGUUACUCCGCAAGGAGGUCCAGUCGAGGUGCUGCAUGGCUGCCGUCAGCUCGUGUCGUGAGAUGUUGGGUUAAGUCCCGCAACGAGCGCAACCCUCGUCCUGUGUUGCCAUGGCGCAAGCCGGAACUCGCAGGAGACCGCCAGCGAUAAGUUGGAGGAAGGUGGGGAUGACGUCAAGUCCUCAUGGCCUUUAUGUCCAGGGCUACACACGUGCUACAAUGGCCGGUACAAACCGCCGCGAACCCGCGAGGGGAGCCAAUCGGAGAAAACCGGUCUCAGUUCGGAUUGCAGGCUGCAAC